UCUAGAACUCGAGAUAUGUGUUGAACACUGAACAGUGUCUGAGCUGUAUGACAGAUUCUGACUUCUCUGUUGUUGCUAUAAUUUGAACUUGAAAACGGUCCUUUUCAAUUUUGGACACAUGAAAGUUUUAGGCCUAUGUCUUAGCUUUCUAUC
Non-coding RNA from Populus trichocarpa (black cottonwood), 153 nucleotides. NCBI's taxonomy places the organism in Eukaryota, Viridiplantae, Streptophyta, Magnoliopsida, Malpighiales, Salicaceae. The record is from Rfam.